UAGAUACCCUGGUAGUCCACGCGGUAAACGAUGAAUACUAGGUGUUGGUGCCCAAAGGGCAUCGGUGCCGUCGCAAACGCAAUAAGUAUUCCACCUGGGGAGUACGUUCGCAAGAAUGAAACUCAAAGGAAUUGACGGGGACCCGCACAAGCAGUGGAGCAUGUGGUUUAAUUCGAAGCAACGCGAAGAACCUUACCAAAUCUUGACAUCCUUCUGACCGCACCGUAAUGGGUGCUUUCCUUCGGGACAG
Molecule: ribosomal RNA, 250 nt
Filed under: uncultured bacterium
Lineage: Bacteria
Description: partial 16S ribosomal RNA
Rfam family: Bacterial small subunit ribosomal RNA
Source: RNAcentral